GACGAACGCUGGCGGCGUGCCUAAUACAUGCAAGUCGAGCGGGGUUAAUUAGAAGCUUGCUUCUAACUAACCUAGCGGCGGACGGGUGAGUAACACGUAGGCAACCUGCCCACAAGACAGGGAUAACUACCGGAAACGGUAGCUAAUACCCGAUACAUCCUUUUCCUGCAUGGGAGAAGGAGGAAAGGCGGAGCAAUCUGUCACUUGUGGAUGGGCCUGCGGCGCAUUAGCUAGUUGGUGGGGUAAAGGCCUACCAAGGCGACGAUGCGUAGCCGACCUGAGAGGGUGAUCGGCCACACUGGGACUGAGACACGGCCCAGACUCCUACGGGAGGCAGCAGUAGGGAAUCUUCCGCAAUGGGCGAAAGCCUGACGGAGCAACGCCGCGUGAGUGAUGAAGGUUUUCGGAUCGUAAAGCUCUGUUGCCAGGGAAGAACGUCUUAUAGAGUAACUGCUACUAGGGUGACGGUACCUGAGAAGAAAGCCCCGGCUAACUACGUGCCAGCAGCCG
RNAcentral lists this ribosomal RNA (510 nucleotides) under Paenibacillus jamilae. RNAcentral describes it as "bacterial SSU rRNA". It matches the Rfam family "Bacterial small subunit ribosomal RNA", at positions 28 to 517 of the family's 1533-position model. The record is from RNAcentral. Lineage: Bacteria; Bacillati; Bacillota; Bacilli; Caryophanales; Paenibacillaceae.